UGAGCCCAAACAGAGAUUAGUCUCGCGAGCAAGAAAGUUCACGUUGACAGUGAUUUGCCACCAUACUCUCUUUACCUUGCCUUAUUAUACAGCAAUACAUCACCAGUAACCUCAAUUACAAAUGCCGUAACUUACAAAAACCUUUAUGUACACAUUUAGUUAAUUUGAAGCUGGAUUCAAAUGUGGUUAAAGGGUCAGUCUGCCUAAAUGACAGACAACUUUGUUCUUAUGUGCCUUCACAUGAUCAGGGAUCCAUUUAAGAGAUUUUUGCCCACACUCUAAUAUAAUACAGGAGAAUGGAAUUCAGCAUGUGAUGUGAAAGGCACUGAAGAAUGACAUCUAAAACAAUCCUCUUCCUUCAUCCAGUGUAGACAUUAUGUCUACUUAUGCUCUCUACAAUGCAAAAGAAAACACAACGGUUACCAUUGUAUAUUUCUACUAACCACAGAUUUUCUCAAGUAAUAACUGAUGAUGAGUUGUGAAACGGCUGGUUAGGAACACAACCACGCAAUUGUUAAAGGGUUGCGUGAGGCGGUUGCCCUCACAGCCACAACAUAUACCCCUUUUCCACCCAGGCAGAACUGGUGCUAGUUCGGAGCCAGAGCCUAGUUUCAAAUCGGUUCUUUGGUUUUCCACCACCAAAGCACCAGCUCCGAACCAGUAAAAGUGGUUCUUAAGUAGCACCAUAUCAUUGCUGGUCUAGAAGUAAGAACCGCUUACGUCAGCGGCUGAGGGCGGGGUUACCGUGACCAACAAGACGAGAGAAACUUUGUGAUCCGCCAUUUUUCGAUAGCAGCUAAUCGAGCAAACAACAACACAAUGGACGCUACUAGGCAAAAACAGCACUGGUCAGACGAGGAAACAAGCUGCUUUCUUGCACUCUGGUCCUCUUCAGAAGUCCAGAACAACGUUGAGUUGCCGCCACCGCUGGGCUGCAGCUCUUCCGUGCCAUCGUGUAGCAGCUCUGGAGAAGCAUUUUCAGAACGGAGAAAAAGGAAGAGAGAUGGUACCUCGGAAAUCCUUCAAUAUCUGGAAAGGGCAGAUGAGAGGUUCCUGCAGCACAGCAAGGCAAUGGAUAAUGUCUUGUGUCAGGACAUGAGAGCGGACACACAAACCCUGCUUGGACUCAUGGGGCGCAUGGUGGCCGUAUUGGAGGCACAAGUUAAAAAAUAACUUUGGUUGCCGCUUUUCAUGUCAUUUUUUAUAUAUUUUUUUACAAUUGUUACCUACAGAACUUUAUUUUUUAAGAUUUCUGUUGUUUUUUGGUUUAAAUAAACAUGUUUAGUAAUGCAAAUAUCUGGUCCAGUUUCUUAAACACUUAACAUGCAAAUAUUGCAUUAUGGUUUGUGUUUUUAAUGCAAUUUACUUUUAUAUAAAUGUGUACAUUAAACAGCCAAGUGAUGCAAUUAGCUGCAUAUACAAAUCUAUAUUAUUUCGAUAUGAAAAAUGAUUAAAAUCCAAAUUACUUCAUGAUUGGAAGUUAAUAAAAACUUGGUUGGUUUUAAUCCCGGCCAGAAGUGUGAAA
Molecule: non-coding RNA, 1525 nt
Organism: Gasterosteus aculeatus aculeatus (three-spined stickleback)
Lineage: Eukaryota; Metazoa; Chordata; Actinopteri; Perciformes; Gasterosteidae
Source: RefSeq, a predicted model, not a curated record